This 74-nucleotide transfer RNA is filed under the name Spirochaetaceae bacterium. Its description in RNAcentral is "tRNA-Ile". It matches the Rfam family "tRNA". Rfam says of the family: Transfer RNA (tRNA) molecules are approximately 80 nucleotides in length. Their secondary structure includes four short double-helical elements and three loops (D, anti-codon, and T loops). RNAcentral also lists the same sequence under 4 other names. Lineage: Bacteria; Pseudomonadati; Spirochaetota; Spirochaetia; Spirochaetales; Spirochaetaceae. The record is from RNAcentral.
GGGCCUGUAGCUCAGGUGGUUAGAGCGCACGCCUGAUAAGCGUGAGGUCGGUGGUUCAAGUCCACCCAGGCCCA